This 464-nucleotide ribosomal RNA is filed under the name uncultured bacterium. RNAcentral describes it as "bacterial SSU rRNA". It matches the Rfam family "Bacterial small subunit ribosomal RNA", at positions 28 to 507 of the family's 1533-position model. The record is from RNAcentral.
GACGAACGCUGGCGGCGUGCUUAACACAUGCAAGUCGAGCGAUGAAGUUCUUCGGAAAUGGAUUAGCGGCGAACGGGUGAGGAACACGUGAAGAAUCUGCCCUCCACUUUGGGAUAACACCGGGAAACCGGUGCUAAUACUGAAUAUUGAAACAUAAGUGGCAUCACUGAGUUUUGAAAGAAUUUCGGUGGAGGAUGACUUCGCGGCCUAUCAGCUAGUUGGUGAGGUAAUGGCUCACCAAGGCAACGACGGGUAGCCGGCCUGAGAGGGCGACCGGCCACACUGGGACUGAGACACGGCCCAGACUCCUACGGGAGGCAGCAGUGGGGAAUAUUGGGCAAUGGAGGAAACUCUGACCCAGCGACGCCGCGUGCGGGAUGAAGGCCUUCGGGUUGUAAACCGCUUUCAGUAGGGAAGAAGCGAAAGUGACGGUACCUACAAAAGAAGCACCGGCUAACUAUGUG